UCAGAUUCGAGUGGACGUUACAGUUGAGCGCGCCGUCAACUCAACGAUAGUUAACGUUAGUAGAUAGAAAAUAUAAUAACUAAUACCAAAAGAAGAAACUGUGUGCGAGCGAUUACGAGUACGAGUAAUACGCAACCGUUGGUUAGUGGCGUUGCAUAAAAAUAGUCGACGAGUGACGCUUUGCAGAUUUUAAAGAAUCUCCAAUCGCGCGUGUGUAAACAAGCUCCGGUAGUGCCACUGAAAUAAUUAAUUAAAAUUCGCCAAAAUUUGUUUGCAAAAUGACGAAGGUUGAACUUUAUAAAUCACGCGUGUUCGUCACCAUUAUACAUCUGUUUGCUUUGGGC
This 344-nucleotide long non-coding RNA is filed under the name Rhagoletis pomonella (apple maggot). Its description in RNAcentral is "uncharacterized LOC118741426, transcript variant X2". The record is from RNAcentral. Lineage: Eukaryota; Metazoa; Arthropoda; Insecta; Diptera; Tephritidae.